AACAUAUAAUUGUCUAGUUCAAGUCUGAAAACUAAGCUUUUGAAUUAUUAUUUUUUUUUCAAAUUAGAUAUCAUCUAUAUCGGACCAUCGUGUCAUAAUGGUUGGUAAUACUGAUAAAAACGGGCAUAAUCAACAACACAUAACAAACAUGUAUAUACCUCUUAAUCUAAAUAGUAGUAAUAAGGUUUUUCAAUAUAUAUAUAAUCAAC
This 209-nucleotide long non-coding RNA is filed under the name Mytilus galloprovincialis (Mediterranean mussel). Lineage: Eukaryota; Metazoa; Mollusca; Bivalvia; Mytilida; Mytilidae. The record is from RNAcentral.